Fukomys damarensis (Damara mole-rat) is the source of this 243-nucleotide long non-coding RNA. RefSeq lists it as uncharacterized. The transcript is spliced from 3 exons. The record is from RefSeq and is a predicted model, not a curated record. Lineage: Eukaryota; Metazoa; Chordata; Mammalia; Rodentia; Bathyergidae.
CACUCCUGCUGCUCCGGGCAAUUCAACAAUUUGUAAGCAGGCUGAAAGUCUGAGAAGCUGGAGCUCCACUGGCCUAAGUCCAGGAGUCCCAGUGCUAUUGACCCCGGAGUUCUGAUGUGCAAGACUUGAAGAAGAGCAUGAUACCAGAUCCAGGAGAGACCUCCUUUGUGGAAAAGUUCUGGCUCUGGAAGCACGUAAAGUCACCCUCCCAGGAACAAUGACCCUACCACACUGAAGAUAAAA